CCAACUGGCUUCAGAUGGCGUGUGUAUGUGCGUGUGCCUGCCUCCUGAGUGUGUGAGACGAGCUGGGAUCAUAAGCCAGGGUUGUUACAAGUGGUUUUAAUCAGCAGUCCAUUAGAGGAGAACGGAAAACUUCAAACAGAUUAAGAACCAAGUUGUUCCAGUAGCCCCGUGAGAAGGUGCUCCCCAAGCCUCUGCUCCUCUGGAACCCAUGACUUCUUGCCUGACACCAGGAAAACAGCAGCAGAAAUGGGAAAACUCAUGCUAGUUUUGGGUAAAGUGUGCCUUUAACUUUUUUUACUGUGGCAAGACGUGGCUACUUGGACUGCAUCUGGAAUGUGGCAAAGGUUGAAGUGAGGACGGCAAAGAGGCCAUGGUUUGUGGGCAAGUCCCCAGGUGCCGCAGGCUUUGUCGCCCUCGUCCCUUCCUUCUGGCCACAGUGGUGGCCAUCUGUCUGUUCUGCCAGACCCUGACUCCUCUCAUGACCAGCAGCAUCCUUUCGGCAGUUGUUAAUGGAAUUACAUCCAACAAACUGACCAAAACACAGCAAGGAAGGUACAAGGAGGUCUCUCCAAGCACCACUAACUGCUUUCUCCCUGGCAGUAACUCACAGACACUGAAAAAGAUCGAUGAUUCCAUUCUCCACUACUUUGGAAGCCCCAUGAGAAGAGCAGUUUUAUAUGCACCUCCUGCCCACCGUGAGACCGACCGUCAGCUCUGUCAGCGCAUCCUGGAAAAACACAGAUAUACAGUCACAGUCCUUGAAAACAGGAGACAAGUGGAAAACCCCAGGCAUGAGGGCCCUUAUCACAGUAAGACUAACUGGACUUAGUUAAUUCAUUUAUUACUAAAUGUGAUCACUAAAUACAGUAUUUAUUCAGCAUUCUUCCACAAAGAUAAAGCUUAUAAAGUCCAACACAAGUAAGGAUAGAAGCCAAAUUCUAGCCCUUCUCAGUUGUGAAGCUAAUUUUCCACAAUUAGGUGAUUCUUCCAUUAGAUAUAUCCUUCCUUAAAAUAAUGCAGCAGAGUAGUUUGUCAUAGUCUUGACAACUAAAUCAUAUCAGUUUGGUUUCUGAUGACUUCUCAUACCAACUUCAUCAAUAUUUUCAAUAGUGCAUUUUAUAACAAAACACAUACCUGUUACAUUUAGUUCCUUUUCAUUUUCUCUCUUAAAGAAAAGCUGUAUCCACGAAAGUACUUUUUUCCUCUGGUAAUGUUUUGAUUGUUCUGUAAGCUUGUUAAAGAACAUGAUACAGAAAAAGUCCAUUUUCCAUUUGCUGCAGAAUCUGGGGUGCAUUACUGUUGGUUCUUAGUUUCUGUUGAAAGUUGAUCCACAGUUAAAACAGGCUACUGAAGAAGCCUGGUCUCUUGCACAAGGGACUAUGGCUUUGUUGUGUACAGUUACACUGUGCUUGAUAAAGGAGCUUUGGGCACGAGUUAUAUAUAAAUUGACCAUGUUUAAGAGUUCUUGGACACCGUAGAUGUAUGAACUGAAACUGUGUUCUCUGUUUGGUCUUCUGUUGCAAGUAAGUUUGGAAACUGGAUGACUUUGAAAAAAUACAUAGGUCACCAUUCUGUCAGAUGGAAAAUGGUGUGGUUGGAUAUUUCUCAUGCUAAAGGGAGUGCUGUUUGCAUCAUUCGGGCUUUCAACAUUUCUGGGGUUGCCAGAGAGCUCAGUUUUGUUUUGAGUUUAACCAAACUGAGGAGUUUCAUAGAUGAAAACUGUAAUUACUUAGCAUGCUCAAGGCUGCCCAAAAUUCCAUCACUAAUUUCAAGUUUCUUUAAGAAACUUUCUUGAAAAUGAGGUUCAUUCAGUUUUCUUUGGUAGGCUGUACCAAGAAAUAGUGAAUGGUCUUCACCUCAUUCUUAUUUGAGUCUGGUAACAUUGGCACAUUUUAGCCACUCUGCCUUGAGUAGUUUCCAUCGCAGUGGAAGACACAGCAUGUCUGCAGGUUUUGCUAAUGUCAGAUGGGCUGCAGAGAAAAGAUGGCAUCUCUGGGGAUCAUGUGAACCAUCUCUGUGAAACAUUUCUGUUUCAAAUGGCUAAGGAAGUGGGUAUGCCAAAUUCAGUUGUGACCCAUAAAAAAAAAGACUGUACUAGAUUUUCUUAUAAUGAUGAGUUCAGAUUGAAGUUCUCCAAUACAGGUUUUUGCACUGCAAACAUUUUCCCUGCAGAAAUCAGCUUAACUGUGGGUAUUUAUAUUUUACAGGCUAGAACCAGUAUUUCCUGUAGUAUUUUUCCAGUAAUAAAAAAAAUUAAAAACUGAAAAGAUUUUAAGUAUUUUCCAGGAACAUCCUACAGCUUUCAGCAGAUGCUGGAUUACAUAAAAAAGUCAAAUGCUUGCCAAUUUAAGGCAAAGAGUAAGACUAUUAAUUCCAUUUCAUGGCAACAUAACUCUGCCUUUAACUAUUCCCUGUUAUGUAAGUGCCUAGCUUUAAAGUUACGUUUUAAAAACAAGAAGUAAGUAAAAGAGCAUGUCUGCAUACCAAACCAAUGAUCUUUUCUUGCAGCUAAUUAAACUGCGUUCAAAGUUAAUUUUUUUUGCCAAUAGAUGAUGGGGUUUACUGUUCUGGAUGGGAUAGUACUUCUUAUUUUGGAGAAGGGUAUUUUGGCCUAUGCUUUGGCAUACUUUCCUAAUAGGAGUUUAAUAAGUUAUUAAAAAUAUACUCCUUGAAGCCUCAGUUAAAAAUAUAUAGGUAACGAACUGUGAAACAUAGAUUCUGAAUGUUGUGAAAAAUCUGUAAAAAGAAUCAUUCCUUCUUACUUGGUAUUAUUUAGCAGCUCUAUCUGGUGCUUUAUUUUUGUUCAGUCUGUCUUACUCAUGUAUCUUUCAAAGUACACUUAAAUUUGAAAGGAUUUUUUGUUUUGAAUGGCUGAGGGCCAAGACUCUAGCUGAAGUCAUAUAUGGAAAAAAAUUCACCACAAAACAUUCCUAACUUUUUUUUGUGCUGGCCCGCUAAGAAUUUUGGGACCAGUUCUGCUCCUGUUUGAAACCCAAAUGUGACAGCUCUGCACACUGAUCUUCCAGAAAGAUCCUCCACACCUGGGCUGCGGUACUGUGUUGAGUUCACUGCUGCCAGAGAGAAACGGAGGAAUGGUUUUCUUCAGUGGAAGUUUUUCACUUCUUACACACCAGCCAAAACAUUUUGAGUUUUGGUAACUGGAAAACAGUUGGCCAGAAAGGAAAAGUAUACUUUUUUUUUAGUCAUGGCAGAGUCUGUGGGUUAUGGGAUUACUAUGAAAAAUCCAUACAGAUGUGUUCUGCAGUAAAACAUAAAUUAUUCAAUCCCCUAAUUUUUCACUGAAAAAUAGCUUUGUCAGUAAAUUCUCAAGCAGCUUUGCCUGAACAAAAAGUAUUUGUGCUUUCACCAUUCCUUAGCAAUCAAAUCCACAUGGAGAGAAAAGUCCAUGGACUGAUGGUAUCUGUCCCUGCUCUGAGCUUUUUGAGACUUACUUUCUCAGCAGCCCUAAAUGAGCCAGUUUUGCUAUAAGUUUAACAUGUCUCUUAGUCUGCUGCUGGCAUGGAGAUAGAGAGGUGGUACUGUAUUAGUAGCAGAUGAUGGGAUAGUCAGAUUAUGCAGAGAACUGGGAUUGCCACCUUGGGCAAUCCAUUUUAGCAUGGUCAGUACCUCCAGUAAGUAUCUGUGGUAAGUCUGUUUUGAAGCAAGCAGUUCAAAAGAAGUUGCAUAACAGCAGAUGAGAAAGAUAUCAGGUUGUAUGGGCCAGCACAUCUACAAAUGGUACAGCUGUUUUGUUUGCCAGGUAGGCAGAAGAAGGUGUCAUUGGUGUGUGGCUCCUUCCUUCCUUCUGUGUCCUUUUUUAAAAUGUGAACCUCUGCUCAUAGAGGCGUAGCCUCUGGGACACAUUCUGCCUUUGCCGCAGCCUUGGAGGGUGUUGAAACCAGUGUCACAAUCUCAUGGAAAAUAAUAAAAUGAUCAGAAGGAGUGAGAAAGCCCCACACCUCCAUGCUUUCUCCUGGGAGGUUUGCCAUGCUGAGCUGUACAAACUACAGGGUUUCCGUCCCUCAGCCUGGGACAGAGCUGUGCUGCUCUAUCAGAGAAGAGUGGGAUUAGCCAUCUGGCUUCAGAGCACUCUUAGAUUCUCCCAGAGAGGCAAAUACUGGAGAAGAACUUGCCAAAUAUUUUCCAAUGUCUUCUGCCUUCUUUGUUCUUCCAGUCAGACAAGCUCUCAUCUCUGAUAUCACAGUAAAGAUUAACAAGAUCUGUGGGUCCCUUCGGCUCUGUGAUGCCCUGACAACAUUUUCACAACAAACAUUUUUUAAAAGGAAGGUUUUAUCUCAGAAUUUUUUUUCACUAAAAUGCAUUUCUGCCCUCCAAAAAUAAUGUUCCCUAGUUACUGUCUGCUGCCUGAACCUUUUAUGAAUUCCAUACUUUGCCCAGAUGAUAUCUUCAAAGAGAAGUAAACUCCUUAUAUCUUUCAUUCUGGAGCCAUCAGUUUCUCUGUCCUUUGCUCAAUGUGCCUGCCUCAUUAGUCAUUGGUAAUCCUCCUUUAAAAGGCAUUUCCUUCAUUUCUCAAUUCUUCACCUUUCCUAAUAGUUAAGCAAAUCUCAGCACACUGCAGACUCCAAAAAACAUGUGCAGUUGUAUGUUACAAAUCCAACCAGCCAGUUUUAGUUCAUGCAGCAAUAGCAUGCAAAGUUCUGUUGUUAGUGGUGCAUCUUGGAAUGGAAAAGAUUCUGCAUAACCUCAAAUGGUAGCCCGUUAGUUUGGCCAUGGAAUAAAACGCAUGUAUUCAAGCUACUGGCAAACUGAGUGCAAUGUAACAUUAUAUGCUCCCUGAUGCCUUAGAAUGUUAGUAAUUUGAUGGAAGUUUUUGCAAUUGUAUUGAGGGACUUUUAAAAAAGGAAUCAUAAACCAUUUUCAUAGUAUUGAUUUUACACGAUAAUUUCUUAUUUUUAGAAUACCAAGUUAAGUAUUUAAACUUAACUAUGGCUUCUGUUUGCAGUUUGAGUGACAUCCAUUGAAAAUGAAAUUUUAGCCAUGCCAUGAGAAAGAUAUCUACAGUACCUAUAUUGCUUUGGAUUGGGGUUUUUUUGUGAUUUAUUGUUCCACAAAAUAAGUAUUGAACCCAAUUUAGCUUUGGUCGAUAUUUAGCUCUUCUGUCAAUUUCCACUGAAAUCAAUACCAGUUUCAUUUCCUGUUCAUUCACCUGACGUUGAGUGGAGAUAGUACACUAUAUAUAUCCUCAAAUUUACAUAUAUAGCAAAGAAUAUUAGUUCUGAAGGUUUUUUUCACUUUUUUGGGUUUAUAAAUACACGCUUAAUGCUGUUCUAUUUUCUGUCACGUUAAGAGCUUGCUGUGUUUAAGUACUUGGCCGUGUUAACUAAGCCCUCGUUCCAGCAACUAACUAUGAGGAUGAUCUGGCUUUUCGCAGAUGUGGGAGUGGUGCUUGGGUGGAGCUGCAUCAGGAACAGGAAGGGAUGAGUGAGACGACACCCAUGGGAGCAAAUCUGUGUGAUCUUGGCCCUUCUUUUUGCGUGCUGGGCUCAAGAGAUCUGUCUCUUAUUUAAAGGAGCACUACUUACAGCAAGCAGUGAACAACUGUUCACUGAUAAAGCAAACUGUAUGUAGUCAGGCAUAAGUCAUUUUGCUGUAAAAUGGUGAUUUGAGAAUUGUGUUGCUAGGAAGGUAUGGCCUCUGCUGCCUCCCUCCUUUGCUCUCUGUAGAGAGUUCUGUUGCUUCUUUGUACCCAGUGGUCACUCCCUGUAAAAGCAGCUGCUUGGGGAAUGUCAGGGAGCAGGAGACUGCAGGAGCAGGCACAGGUCUUCAUAGAUGUGGAGUGAUGCUAGCUGCAAAGUUUUCUGUCUCCCUCUGUGUGCUACAUGACUGAAGAAGCAGUUGGGGACAGAUGAAAGAAAACUCUCCUUUGAUUCUUCCAAAAAGCAAUUUUCCAAGUCAGCCUUUAUUAAUUUUUCAUUUUGGUUUGUUGGGUAUCCUUUGGAAAAAUUACUUUUUAAAGAAAAUCUACAUUUUCCAUGGGAAGACAGUGAUUCUGUUCACUUUGAUUCAUAGUAGGAGUUAGGAGGCAGAGAAAUGCUGCCACAUCAGAGUUAGAGAUGGAGGAACUUAGAUAAAAACUUUAAGAGUCAUAGAACUAGGAUGAAAUGCAUGAUCUUUGCUGUGUAUCUUUAUGUUACUCCUUUAGCAUAUUGUAUCACCCCUAGUACUCCUCACUGUACAUACUUUUGACCAGAGGCUAAAUAGCAGAAGUAUCAGCCUAAUUGCUGACAUCUGGGCCAGCAGCAAGGUAGGAACUUGUAGAAAUGCUACUUCAUAAGUGCAGCCAGUAAUAGUUUCCUCAGGACUGCUAAUUAGUGUAGAGAAUAAACUACAGCCGUGGCUUUCGGAGGCCCUCAGGACCAUGUCUGGUGACUGUCAGACAUUCGCUUUUCAUUUUCCAAGAUACAGUAUAUCAGCAAAAUAAGUGAAAAUGAGAGAAGUUGGUAGAUAUAGGAGGACACAGUGAUGCUCUUUCUUCAAUGAGUGUGAAGGCUGGUAUGUUUGAGUGAACAGAGGUACUUGUUAACAUAAAAUAUUAACAAAGUCUGGUGCUAAGAAAAAAAGAAUGAUCUGUUCAUCAUGCCUAUAGUAAACAGUACAACAACAACAACAACAACAAAGUUGUUAUUAGGAAAACUGUUUUGGGGAUAAGGCUAGUGAAGUAAUCAAAUGGAGCUGUGGAGCAUUUGAUCUUAGACAUCUUGAAAUAUUAGAUAAAGAGGUUUUAUUGGGUGUAGUGAGUCCCCUUGUGGGGUAACAAGAUGAUCUCACAGAUUUCUGGAAGUCUAUGACUAACUUUGAGCAAUGAGGCAGACAAGAAACUGAUUUUUAGAAAAACAUGAUUUCUAAAGCAAAUGGAGCAAUUUCAGGUAUGAAUCAGGUGUGGUGACUCAGGGCUUGGAGGACGUGUCCUCCAAAUACAUAUGUAUCUUCAGUAUGUAGUUGCAUCUUCUUAAAAUGCAAAAUAUUCUCAAAAAAUCAAAAUCUAUGAGAAUGCAUUCCUGACAGGAGGGGAGGAAAUGGAAGGGAGCACAAAAUCAGUGGUUUUUAGAUACUAGCCAGCUGAAGUUUGAGAAGGUAGAAAGCAAAUAACAUAUUUUGAACUAGGGAUGGUUUUCAUGGGACAGUAUGUAAAAAUCAGUACUCAUAGAACCAAAUUUCUUUCCUUAGUGAGUGGUUUUCUAUUGAGUUAGAAAUACAUUAACAGGAGUAGGUAACAUUAGUUCUAACUUUCCUUUUUUUUAUUUUAUUUUAAUUACUCAGAAUACAGUUAGGAGGAGCCCUUACUUGCUGUUUGUUACAGCCUCAGACAAGUUUCCAUGAAAUCCAACUAACUUUAGCAAACAAUUAUAAAGACUAAAGGCCUCAAGGAAAAUUGCUUAUGUGUUCUGUAAACAUCUGGUUGCCAUUUUCAAUUACAAGGACCAACCCACUGAAGGAAGCAGUUUAGUUUUUUUGGAACAGAAAUGGGACACUGGGGUUUUUGUUCUUUUUCAUGGUGGAGAGUAAAGGAAAUGUCAGGAAUAGAGAGGUCACUAGAUGCUCAGCUUUUAUAAAUACAAAAGUCUCUGAGAAAAUUAAAGUAAAUUGGAAUCAGGUUCUGAAAGUGUAAACAAUCCUGUGGAGGUAAGGUUAAAUAAGCAGAACUGGAGCUCUUAGCAUGCCAGCAAAAGCACAAGAUCAUUCUAUCAUAAGUAAGUAAUUUAAAAUAUUGUGCAAAAUAAUAAUGCUGAGACUAGCCACAGAAGUAUUUUGUGGGUUACCAUACAAAUACAUGUGUAUCUUCAAAUCUAGCAGAUGUAAAUUCUCUUCCCAAAAUCAUUUUGGUUAACUGCUGGUACAAAUAUAUAACCAACAGUAUACAAAACUGAUUGGCUUUGUAAUGCAAAAUAUAUGUCAUGUGAGUCCUGAGCAAAGUUUUGACAAGUAAAAUAGAAGCAUACUUUUUGUAUGUUACUAAGCAAGGAGCUUCCUAAACAAGCUAAAUAGGUAGAAAUGUGGUCCUCAGAACACAGUGUGUUACAAGCAUGUGACAAACAAUGUUUGCUAAAUUUGU
Molecule: long non-coding RNA, 8074 nt
Organism: Pseudopipra pipra
Lineage: Eukaryota; Metazoa; Chordata; Aves; Passeriformes; Pipridae
Exons: 3
Source: RefSeq, a predicted model, not a curated record